Molecule: ribosomal RNA, 492 nt
Filed under: uncultured bacterium
Lineage: Bacteria
Description: partial 16S ribosomal RNA
Rfam family: Bacterial small subunit ribosomal RNA
Source: RNAcentral
AGUGAACGCUGGCGGUAGGCCUAACACAUGCAAGUCGAACGGCAGCUCAGUCAGUGCUUGCUCCUACGGGUGGCGUGUGGCGUACGGGUGCGGCAUACCUCGCUGUCUUCUUUUUCGUGGGUCUUUCCGUAGGGAAACUUACGCUAAUACCUCAUAAGUCCUACGUGUGAAAUCAGUGGAUCUUCUGACCUUGUGCGAUUGAAUGAGCCGAUGUCGGAUUAGUUAGUUGGCCGGGUAAUGGCCCACCAAGGCGACGAUCCGUAGCUGGUCUGAGAGGAUGAUCAGCAACACGGGAACGGAGACACGGACCAGACUCCUAAGGGAGGCAGCAGGGGGGAAUAUUGGAGAAUGGGCGCAAGCCUGAUCCAGCCAAAGCGCGUGAGUGAGGAAGGGCUACGGGUUGUAAAGGCAGUUGGUUGGGAAAGAAAAGAAGCAGGUUAAUAACCGGAGGUUAUGACGGUACCCAAAGAAAAAGCACCGGCUAACUUCGUG